RNAcentral lists this ribosomal RNA (492 nucleotides) under uncultured bacterium. RNAcentral's name for it is "bacterial SSU rRNA". It matches the Rfam family "Bacterial small subunit ribosomal RNA", at positions 29 to 496 of the family's 1533-position model. The record is from RNAcentral.
AACGAACGCUGGCGGCGUGCCUAACACAUGCAAGUCGUACGGGGAUAGAUAGCUUGCUAUUUAUUCUAGUGGCGCACGGGUGAGUAACGCGUAGAUAAUCUGCCUUGGACUCUGGGAUAACAUUUCGAAAGGGGUGCUAAUACCGGAUAAGCCCACGGGGACGUAAGUUCUUGCGGGAAAAGGGGGCCUCUGCAUAUGCUCUUGAUCCAAGAUGAGUCUGCGUACCAUUAGCUAGUUGGUAGGGUAGGAGCCUACCAAGGCGACGAUGGUUAGCUGGUCUGAGAGGAUGAUCAGCCACACUGGAACUGAGACACGGUCCAGACUCCUACGGGAGGCAGCAGUGGGGAAUUUUUGCGCAAUGGGGGAAACCCUGACGCAGCAACGCCGCGUGAGUGAUGAAGGCUUUCGGGUCGUAAAGCUCUGUCUAGAGGGAAGAAAUGAUAUUGGGUUAAUACCCUGAUUUCUUGACGGUACCUCUGAAGGAAGCACCGG